RNAcentral lists this ribosomal RNA (475 nucleotides) under uncultured bacterium. RNAcentral's name for it is "bacterial SSU rRNA". It matches the Rfam family "Bacterial small subunit ribosomal RNA", at positions 382 to 857 of the family's 1533-position model. The record is from RNAcentral.
UCUGAACCAGCCAUGCCGUGUGCAGGAUGACAGCCCUAUGGGUUGUAAACUGCUUUUAUACAAGAAGAAUUCCCUGUACGUGUACAUGGUUGACGGUAUUGUACGAAUAAGGAUCGGCUAACUCCGUGCCAGCAGCCGCGGUAAUACGGAGGAUCCAAGCGUUAUCCGGAUUCAUUGGGUUUAAAGGGUGCGUAGGCGGAAUGAUAAGUUAGUGGUGAAAGCCCCCGGCUCAACCGGGGAACUGCCAUUAAAACUGUCAUUCUUGAGUAUAGUUGAAGUGGGCGGAAUGUAUCAUGUAGCGGUGAAAUGCUUAGAUAUGAUACAGAACACCAAUAGCGUAGGCAGCUUGCUAAACUAUAACUGACGCUCAGGCACGAAAGCGUGGGGAGCAAACAGGAUUAGAUACCCUGGUAGUCCACGCCGUAAACGAUGAUCACUCGCUGUUGGCGAUACACAGUCAGCGGCUUAGGGAAAC